GCCAGGGCGGGCCCCUUGAGCCGCCUUCAGCUGCAGCAGUGCCCGGUGGUACUUGCCAAUGGCUUCUCGGAACUUCUUCUCUCGGUAGCAACGCUGACCCUCCGCCUUGAACGCCACGGCAGCCCGCAGGCUGCUGUCGAGCGCCGCAGCCAGGCCCCCAGACGGCUCUGGGGCAGGACCCGACCGAGCAGAGCCAUGGCGAGGCGCUGAGCCGGGGCCCGGCGGGGAAAGGGCGGGAGGCGGGCGCGGUGGAGGCUCCGGGGCAGCGCUGAGCAUCAGCACCGGGGACAGCGCGCCGCGCUGCAUUGUGGGAAACUCCUGCGGCCGCCGCUGCAGCUACCGCAUCGCCCCCCGCGGGGCCGGUCCCCACCCUUUCUCCGCCCCCACAUCUCUGGCUGCCGUCUCCGGCUGCCCCCUAUGGGUCUAGAAAAACCCCUCCAAACUCCCCCUCGCUCACCCUCAAACCAGCCUGGGUCUAGUUGUUCUGGCGCCUCUCCCUUGUCCCCACAGUCCUUACCCUCCCACCCGACUGCAUGUUCUCCCGGAGAUUUCUAGAAGAAAAAGGCUGAGCGGGCAGACAUCAGUUUUGUGGAAAGCUGGUUUUCAGCCCACUAGUCAUUUGGCAUGUUGGAUAAGAAUACAGGAUUGGGAGUCAAGCUGCCCGGCUUCAGACACUGGUUUCUCAUUACUCUAUGAUUUGGACAAUCCCCUCAAAUUACCUAUUGUACUAUAGUGCGGGACAAUAGUACAUACGUUGGAAUCGAUUCUUUAUGUAAUAAACAAAUAGCCAUUGCUCAAUUUCUGUUCAGGGGGAGGGGGUUGAUGGGCCAAUGUAAAAACAAACAACAACAACAGAAGUCAAGUGGGGUAGCACCUGCCUGUAGUCACACUCGGACAUCUGAGGCAGGAGAGUGGAAAGAAGUUUGAAGCUAAUCUGGUGCUAACGAGGAAAUUCCAGAUCAGCCAUGAACUACAAAGAAAAGAGGUUUGCUGUGAUUAUCCAAUCAGAGGAAUUAUAGAAGCCUGGAAGCAACCAGUCAAAAUCGAGUGCGGGACUGAAAUUCGACCAAUAAGGAUGAAGGACUCUCCAAAGAAAAGAAAGACUUUUUGUUGAAUUAAAACUACCAAGAUGGUGAAGACAGUAACUAGGCAGUUAUUACUUGGUGCCCAAGAGAACCAAGACACUACCCUCGGCCAAGACCAUCAACUGCAGAGCUCUGGGCCAUGUCUGGAGCUCACCCUGUCAAGCACCCAUGGUUUGCCAGGCUCAGAGCCACAGCUGUUUGCUGACCUGGUUCCUGCGUGUAGCCUGUACAGGCUCAGGGACAACAGGGACAGCUUCAGGAAGUGAGCGGCAAAGAGAAUGACUUUAUACAAGGCCUCUACAUACUCGCCAAGCCCACUGCGUCCCACUGCGUGUGGGUCACGCCCCUACCCUGAAGCACUUGAGGGCUGCUCCAGGGCAGAGCAGCCGGCAGCCAAUGGCAGAGCAGAGGGACUAAAUGGUACAGACAGAAACUGAAGUGGCUGAGGGUGGGGUGCUCCACACUCGGAAGGAGCCGGCAGAAGGAGGCCGACCGUGGACAGAAGGAAAAGCAUUAUGGGAGCCUUGGACCCUCUGCUCUGGAGUUAUUGGGAUGGAUGAGUGUGGUCCCACUUCCAGACUUGAGUUUCCUGGUCUGUAAAAUGAGACCGAUAAGCCGGGCGUGAUGGCGCACACCUUUAAUCCCAGCACUCGGGAGGCAGAGGCAGGUGGAUCUCUGAGUUCGAGGCCAGCCUGGUCUACAAAGUGAGUUCCAGGACAGCCAGGGCUAUACAGAGAAACCCUGUCUCGAAAAACCAAAAAAAAAAAAAAAAAAAAAAAAAAAAGUGGGGGGGGGACCGAUGACAUAAGCCUACAAGUUGUAGAUAAACCCUGCUUCUGUGUUCCAAUGACCUGGUUUGGCACAGUUGUGUAUUGUGGCUAUUCAUUUAAAUGCUUUGCGGUUUUUUGUUUUGGUAUUUAUUUUGUGUGUAUGAGUGUUUCGACUGAGUGUAUGUAUCUGUGUACCACGCACGUGCCUGGUGUCCAUGAAGACCAACAAAAAGGUUUUGAAUCCUCUUGACAUGGAAUUAGGAACAGAGCCGGGCGUGGUGGCGCAUGCCUUUAAUCCCAGCACUUGGGAGGCAGAGGCAGGCGGAUUUCUGAGUUCGAGGCCAGCCUGGUCUACAGAGUGAGUUCCAGGACAGCCAGGGCUAUACAGAGAAACCCUGUCUCGAAAAAACAAAACAAAACAAACAAACAAAAAAACAAAAACAAAAAAAACCCAAACAAACAAAAAAAAAAAAGGAAUUAGGAACAGUUGUUAUUACCAUUUGUACUGGGACUCAAACUCAAGUCCUCCGGAAGAGCUCUUAACGAUAGAUGAGCCACACUGUCCAGCAUACUCCCCUCUUAAUAGACAGACCUUCGUUGUAAUUCAGGCUGGUAUCGAACUCAACAAUCAUCCUAUCUCAGCCUCUCAAGUGCUAAGAUUAUGAGCAUGAAAUUGUGAAAUUCCACAGCUGGCUUCUACGCUCAUUCUUUCAUUCAUUCAUUCACUCAUUCACUCAUUCUUUCUUUCUUUCUUUUUUCUU
Long non-coding RNA from Mus musculus (house mouse), 2616 nucleotides. RefSeq annotates it as predicted gene, 38973. NCBI's taxonomy places the organism in Eukaryota, Metazoa, Chordata, Mammalia, Rodentia, Muridae. The transcript has 3 exons. The record is from RefSeq and is a predicted model, not a curated record.